RNAcentral lists this ribosomal RNA (1136 nucleotides) under Macrococcoides caseolyticum. RNAcentral's name for it is "bacterial SSU rRNA". It matches the Rfam family "Bacterial small subunit ribosomal RNA", at positions 37 to 1158 of the family's 1533-position model. The record is from RNAcentral. Lineage: Bacteria; Bacillati; Bacillota; Bacilli; Caryophanales; Staphylococcaceae.
CCAUUGGGCGGUCUAUCAUGCAGUCGAGCGACGGACGAGAGUGCUUGCACUCUCUGAUGUUAGCGGCGGACGGGUGAGUAACACGUGGGUAACCUACCUAUAAGACUGGGAUAACUUCGGGAAACCGGAGCUAAUACCGGAUAAUAUUUAGCUUCGCAUGAAGCAAUAGUGAAAGACGGUUCUGCUGUCACUUAUAGAUGGACCCGCGGUGUAUUAGCUAGUUGGUGAGGUAACGGCUCACCAAGGCAACGAUACAUAGCCGACCUGAGAGGGUGAUCGGCCACACUGGGACUGAGACACGGCCCAGACUCCUACGGGAGGCAGCAGUAGGGAAUCUUCCGCAAUGGACGAAAGUCUGACGGAGCAACGCCGCGUGAGUGAAGAAGGUUUUCGGAUCGUAAAACUCUGUUGUAAGGGAAGAACAAGUACGUUAGUAACUGAACGUACCUUGACGGUACCUUACCAGAAAGCCACGGCUAACUACGUGCCAGCAGCCGCGGUAAUACGUAGGUGGCAAGCGUUAUCCGGAAUUAUUGGGCGUAAAGCGCGCGUAGGCGGUCUCUUAAGUCUGAUGUGAAAGCCCCCGGCUCAACCGGGGAGGGUCAUUGGAAACUGGGAGACUUGAGUGCAGAAGAGGAGAGUGGAAUUCCAUGUGUAGCGGUGAAAUGCGCAGAGAUAUGGAGGAACACCAGUGGCGAAGGCGGCUCUCUGGUCUGUAACUGACGCUGAGGUGCGAAAGCGUGGGGAUCAAACAGGAUUAGAUACCCUGGUAGUCCACGCCGUAAACGAUGAGUGCUAAGUGUUGGGGGGUUUCCGCCCCUCAGUGCUGCAGCUAACGCAUUAAGCACUCCGCCUGGGGAGUACGGUCGCAAGACUGAAACUCAAAGGGAAUUGACGGGGACCCGCACAAGCGGUGGAGCAUGUGGUUUAAUUCGAAGCAACGCGAGAACCUUACCAAAUCUUGACAUCCCUUUGACAACUCUAGAGAUAGAGCUUUCCCCUUCGGGGACAAAGUGACAGUGAUGCAUGAUGGUCGUCAGCUCGUGUCCGUGGAGAAUGUUAGGCUUAAGGUCCCGCAACGAGCGCAACGCUUAUAGUCUUUAAGUGGCCAAUCAUUUAAGUUGGUCACCUCUCUA